Xiphophorus couchianus (Monterrey platyfish) is the source of this 285-nucleotide long non-coding RNA. RefSeq lists it as uncharacterized. The record is from RefSeq and is a predicted model, not a curated record. Lineage: Eukaryota; Metazoa; Chordata; Actinopteri; Cyprinodontiformes; Poeciliidae. The transcript is spliced from 3 exons.
AGUUAAAAAAGAAGUAUGUAGUAUUUCUUUCAAACUUUAAAAUCUCAAAUUAGCAGCAUGCUUCAGAAAUACAGCUGAGUAUCUGGUGAGUAGCAGUUGUGUGGAUUAAAAUGUCUUGAUAAUGACAGAAUAAUGGGCAGACUGGUUGGAGAUGACAGAAAGGCAACGAGAGCUCAAAUAAUCACUCUUCACAACCAAAGGGUGAGAAAGUAAGGAAGGGUAAGGUAAUUUUAGUUAUAUAGCACAUUUUCAGCAGCAAGGCAGUUCAAAAUGAUUUACAUGAAU